CAUGACCCAGGAUAUCUGCUUGAGUACAUUUCUUAGCAGCAAAGCACACAUGAAGUAGUGUGGCUGUUUCUAACAGCCUAUGAUAAGACAUGGGAGUAAAGGAAUAACUUAAAGUGAGAACUUAUAUUUAAAAGGGAAGCAGAGCAUAAAAGUUUGGAAAAUUUGCACCCUUGUCAUGUGAUAGAGAAGGAAAGAGCAUUUCCAGGCAAGGAACACAAACAGGCUCUGAAGCAAGCACUUGCUAGAUACGUUAGCAUGACUCAAUGGGAGCCAAGCGCUAAUAUUUAUGACAAUGAGAAAAAGGCCUUGAAGGCAUUUCAGAGAUGUGAUUGGCCCCAUCACAGGCCCAGGGGCCUAAGAGGAAAGAAUGGUUUCAGGGACUAGGUUCUGAGUCAUCCUUGGGAUGGUCAUCCUUGGGAUUCUGCUCCCAGCAUGCAGACUACUGUUCCAGCCAUGGCUCAAAGGGUUCCAGGUACAGCUGGGGAUACCACUCCUGAGAGCACAAACUGCCCUGAGCUUGAUGUAGAAGACUAUCAUAUGAACCAGAGAGGGUAACUGAACCCAAAUAAAUGACUCCAAUAUCAAGCUAACGACACGCCUUAAAGGAUGAGGAGGAGCAGAAAUCCCACCAGCAAGGCAAGAAAGAAGCUGCGCAUGAACAGUGUCUGUGAGACCAGAUAGGAUUCCUGCUUUACUGACAAGUAAACGAAGGCUCAACAAAGUGAAAUCUGAGAGAAUUCUAAUAAUUGUGAAACAUUUCCUUUGGUGAAAGUUGGUUCCACAUUUUGCCUCUGCUUUAGGCCCCGAAGGAAAAGAAGUUACAGGAGCCAAUCAGUCUUACACUCUUCCAUGAUCAUAGGCAAGAGGUCCCUGGAUCUAAAGAAAUGAGUCAGAGCACUAGAGCAAAAUGAGUCCUGCAACGGGAAUGGAAUGCCUGGAUUUGGAAGAGCCAGCGUAAGGAAGCGUCACAGUUGGGAAGCAUCCUGGCCGUGCCAUGGUAAAGGGAAGCUGGCAGCCUGGGCUGAUGGAGAUUGUAUCUGGUGCUGGAGAAGAUUGGCUCCCACAGUCAGUGAGAAGGGAGUUUUACUCACCCAGCACCCAGAUGAACUUUGGUGAAGAGAGGCGGUGGAGAGGUCAAGGAGCCUUGCUUUUUCACUUGCAAUUAUGGCACUUCCUUUGGAAAUGGUAAGACUAUAUUUUUAGACUUACACUAUUAACUUAAAAUCCUAACAGGUCAGGAAGAUGGCUUUGUGCACAUUAAGGCAUGAAAAAGAUUUAUUUUUCCUAUCAUUUUUCUUCCUCAAAUAGUCAUUAGGUAGGAAUUCUUGCUUUUUGUUAACACCUGUGAGAAUAUUAACAUACCAGAAAACAUUUGUUGAUUGCGUGUUACGAUAUGGUGGCACUGAAGUAGAUAUUUUAAAGGUUAAAAAUAUGUUAACAGUGGCUUUUUAUUCAUUCAACUAAGCAAUAUUUACUUGAAUGCAUAUCAUGCAUCAGGCUUCUGCUAGGUACUGGAGAUUUUUAAAAAUAAUAAAGCAAACCAAAAAAAACUAAGUGAGAUCGGAUCUCCUUUCUUAAGUUGUCCUCAGCCUAAAACCUUGUUGUUUAGGUCAGUGGUUCUCAAUCCAGGGUGAUUUUGCCCCCCAGAGGACAUUUGACAGUUUCCUGGGGAAAUAUUCAAAUACUGCUACUGGGAGGGAUGGGGGAUGCUAUGGAAUCUAAUAAGUAGAAGCCAGUGAUGCUGCUAAACAUCCUAUAAAAUACCAUUCAGCCCCCAACAAUUGGAUUAUCAGAUCCAAAUGUCAAUAGUGUCCAAGUUGAGAAAUCUGCAAACCCACUGGGCUCUUCCUUAAACAAAGAGCACAUUCACCAUGUGUGAAUUAAACAAAGCAAGCUUUAAAGCCACUUUCUGCCCUCCUUCUACCAGGUAGGUUUCGAAUGUUGAAGGGUCCCUCCCUAGCUCAGGGGAGAAUAAAUGUUAUUAUCAUUUAUAACAUUUAUUCUUGUUAUACCCCCCGGUCUCUCAGGUGGGGUAUGGUGGUGGCACUGUUCAGCAGAAGGUCAGCAAUUCUUUCAUCAGCCCAGGCCAGAGGCAUAACCUGUUAAAUAAGUCUGCCCCAGAGAGAGGAUGUGAGACUUCUCCUCUUUGUUGGGAGCAGCCAAGCUUCUGUAUUCAAGGCCGGUUAAGUGCAAAUCCUUUCAAACUGUAUUACUGAAAGAUAAUGACAGUCUUAUAAUUUAAACAUAAUAUUUGCACCUAAAUUGAAACUACCAUCAAAAUUUUGCAUUGUUCUGCUUCUGUGUAAGUACUAACUGCAAAGUCUGAAAAAAAGAAGUAACCUUACAAUCAUGCUGUUCAGUGUAGCUACUAGCCACAUGCUGCUGUUUAAAUUAGUUGACAUUAAAUAAAAUUUAAAAUUUUAUUUUUAUUUUUCAGUGGCACUAGUCACAUUGUAAGUGUCCACUAGCCAUGUGACUACUGGCUACUGAAUUGGACGGUGUGGGUACAGGACAUUUCCAUCAUCACAGGAAGUUCUGUUGGACAACAUUGUCCUAGAAGGCUCCAUUUCGAAGGAUCCUUAUAAAUAUGCACAGUUAUUUCUAAAAAAAGGCUUGUUUCCUAGCAGCUGAGGCACUGGGGCAAUGCUUUGCAUUCUGUCAUUACGAUUGUCUGUUAGAAAGGCACAGACAUGUUCUGCUGGGGGGACCAUCUCUCUUCUGACAUGGAAUUUUUGUGAAGGGUUUAUGUAAUGGAUGUGGGAUAAUGUGUCAGAUGAUUGAAACCAUGAUUUUCCAGAAGAUAUAACAAUGUAAAAUUCACAUAGGUGACUCCUGUAAGACAUUUCUGAUCUAAGUCAAGUGUGUAUUGUUAAAUAUUAAUUCCAUUAGAGUAUGUCAGCAGGGAAUUAAGAUAUGUGACCCAAAUGUAUUUCUUUUUAGUAGCUGAGUGUAAUAGAGAAGUAGUGCUCAGUGGAUCUUAACUGAAGAAGAGGUGGGGUAAAGGGGGGAGGGGAGGUUCAGAAUAUUUGGAAAAGAUUCUCCAUGUUAUUUUAAUGUACCUAAUCCAGGUUAAGUAUAGUUUAGAGAUAUGGAAAGGAUAAUUGAUUUACCUUUUACUGCUGUAUGAUUGGGGGAGGGGGAAAGGGUGUGGCUUUUAAAAGUCCCUCCCUUUAGUGGGGCCUAGACAUCCACCCCAUUCUCUCUUGCUAUCUUUCCUUCCAGUGACCCACCUGUCUACCCCUCCCUACCUGGUUAUUUAGGAUGAUCAACUGGCUUUAGAACAAUGGUUUUAGGCAGUUUUUUCCGGUAUCAAGAGUCUCCAGCAAACUUUUGCAAGCUGUAUAUCACAAUCUAUUCUUGGCUGCAUUUUUUUGGUCAGUGCCUGAAGUGUUGAUAUGUGUGCUUACUGAUCAAAGCACGUGUCUCAUGCACAGAGGAUGCAUUAGCCAGAGAGGACACUCAGAAGAAAUUCAGGAAUCCAUUUAGUGUUGUUGCUCAGGGUGAAAGGCACCCCACUUCCACAGAGAGGUGGUCUAUGAGUGUGUGAGAAGGGCUAAAACCGUUCUCCUAAAGGACCUGUUCAAGCCAGACCCUAUGUAAUAUAAUGUGUUGGUGUAACAUGAGAAAAAAUAUAUAUUUGGUCUUUGUCCCAGUUUCUGGCACAGAGCUCCUAAAACCUUUGGAAAUUCCUGAGUGAUAAAGUGUCUUUUGCAUGCUAAUGAGGUGACUAGAUAGGGCAGUGCUCAGAUAGCUUCAGGAUAAGGGUUGGUCACCAGAGGUGCCAACCACCUGAUUAGAGGGUUAGAAUUGUCAGCUCUGCACUGCCUUCUUCCCCACUCCAGACAGGGGAGAGGGGCUGGAGAUUGAGUUCAAUCACCAAUGGCCAAUGAUUUAGUAAAUUGUGUCUACGUGGUAACGAUGGUUCCGUAAAAACUCUGAAGCAAUAAGGCUAAGGGAGCCUCCUGGUUGGUGAGUACAUUGACAUAAUGGGAGGGCGCUUACCCAGAAAGGGCAUGGAAGAGCUGUGUCCCCUCCCUGCCCCAAUACCUUGCCCUAUGCAUCACUUCCAUUUGGAUGUUCCUGAAUUGUAUCCUUUAUGAUAAAAGUAUAAUUGAAAGUAGAGAGCUUUUCUGAGUUCUGUCAGUCAUUCUAGCAAACUAUUGAACCUGGGGAGAGGUUGUAGAAACCCCCAAAUUUGUGGUAGACUGGGCAGAAGUGCAGGUAGCCUAGAGACAUCAUGUACAGCUGGCAUCUAAAGUGAGGGCUUCUUAUGGAACCGAACCCUUACUGUGUGGGGUCUAGACUAACUCUGAGUAGCUAGUGUCUGAAUCAGAUUGAAUUGUUGCCACCCAGUUGGCUUCAGAGUGAGGCAGGAAAAUGGGGUCUGGUGGCAGGAAACAUAAGGCCAAUUCACACUUUAGCUAUGCCAGGAAAUACCCUCUCCAUAGGGUGUACGCUGAGUAAAUGACUUUGUCACUUUACUUCAUCUCUCCAUUUAUGUAGGGCAUACACCAAGUAACCAAUGGAAUCUUCUGGAGGGUAUUUAAACUCCCAAAAAUUCUGCAACAGGGCCUUUGAGCUCCUAUGCUCAGGCCAGCUCCCACACUGUGGAGUGUACUUUCAUUUUUAAUAAAUUACUUCAUUCCUUCCUUGCUUUAUGCAUUUUGACCAGUGCUUUGUUCAAGAUGCCUAGAACGUGGACACCCUCCACUGGAGGAUGAAUCACAUAAUUUGUUGGUAUUGGAAUGACAUAGCUGGGAUUAAAAUGGUGAACAGGAGUAGACAUCUUUCUACUCUCAAAAUUUACAAACAGUAUGCCAAUGAGUUUGUUGGGUUUAUUUGGCACUGUGCUGUAUAUUGUCCUGUCACGCCCUCCAAAUCUACUCCCCCUGGUCUUUAGAGGCUGACCCUCAUAGAACACAGUAAUGGACAUUCUUCUUUCUGUCUAUAGUUCGGUUUGAUCAAUGGGGUGUCCUGGGAGGAAAUUGAAGGGAGUCAGGUAAGUGAACUCAGGGCAUUGAUUCACCUCACUCACUCCUUGGAAGCCCACCUGGGGCGAUAUCUCCCUUCUAGGCAGUCCUCUCAACAUGAACUUCUCCUUCCCAGUCUGGCAACUCCUCCUUGUCUCCUUAUGCAUAAGGGUGGUGUAAGCACUUCAGCGUCUAAUCUUUAGUUUUUGCCUGCAAACCCUUGUGGUUCUAUUACAUCCUGUAUACACCCUUGUAAAAAGUUUCUUAUUAAAUAAACCUUCUUUGAAUUAUCCUAAGAUGAGUGUUCUGUCUCGCUGAGAUCCUGACUGAUACAAGCAUUAUCCAUUUAAAUGUUGGAUGUAUGCUUGCAAAGUAUGUUGAGUUUUGUUUUAGUAUAUUUGAUGCUAAGCCAGCUGUUCAGCUACUUAAGAAGGUGACCCUGGUUUGUAAUGAUAAAAUUGUAUUAUGGAGUAGGAUGUUUAUCUUCCUGUUUCCUUUGGCAGGAAAGUAUAUAUUCAAUAAGGUACAGAGAAGGGGAGCUAGAACAUUAGUUCUGUUUUAUAGCAUUUAGAAUUAUAAUUUUUGUUGCCAAAAUGUUCCUCUUACCCAUUAUGAUUCUGACAUUAAUACCAUAUUCUAGGCUUUGAAGAUGCAUUAAUAGUUUGGGAUUUUACCACGAUGAUACAUGCUGAUGAGAGGUUGAUAAAUGUUGCAAAAAGUCUUUGUUAUUAACUGUUUUAUUGGUGAGAUGGAACAGGAUAGUAACACUCAGAAGUUUAACCGUUUUGCCUGAAACAUGUUUCCUUUCAUGAAAAACAUUUGAGUGAGAGGCAGCCCAGAAAUGAGUUGUGAAGAGAGCACAAAAUGCAUGCUUUUAUUGUUUGCUUGACAGAGGUGGAGAACCACAUCAUGAAAUUUACAUUUGUUAUUGAUCUUUUUGCCUGAACCCACCCUAGCACCUCCAUUAGCAUCUAUUAGAAGUCAGUUUUUCCAGAUGAUGAAUUUCUUUUAAAAAGAAAUGAACUGUGAGUUUGUAGCCUUUCACAGGAGACUAUGAGCCUCCUUUCCUUCUUAUUUUGCUUACUAAAGUCAUGACUGAAAUAUAAAUUUGGGUGGCUAGAUGGGAUAAUCAAAGCUGGUUUCAACCCGUCUAUAAUCCGCUGAUCUGUACAUUAGACGGAAAGCUUUUCUCAGAAGUUGGUACUCGUGUACAUCUCAAGAGAAUUGGAGAGAGGCUGCCUGCAUAGUUGAUCACUAACCUUUAUAGAUAAAAGCAAUUUCAAAGACCAUCUACCCGCUAAUGCUAUAGAUGAGGAGACUGAGACCCUGAGAUAUUAAAAGACUUACCCAGGAACACAGCUGUAUUAGUUUGUCAGGGUUGCCAUAACAAAGUAUCACAAACUGGGUGACUUAAGCAACAGAACUUGACUGUUUUACAGUUCUGGAGACGGAGCAUCCACAGGUCAAGGGGUUGGCACAGGGGUUCCUUCUGAGGGCUGUGAGGAAAGGGUGUGUUCCAGGCAUCUCUCUUUGGCUUGUAGAUGGCCAUCUUCUCUCUGUGUCUCUUCACAUUAUCCUCCCUCUUUGCAUGUUUGUAUUCAAAUUUCCUCUUCUUAGAAGGACACCAGUCAUACUGGAUUAGGGUUUACUCUAAUAACCUUAUUUUAACUUGAUUGCCCCCGUAAAGACCCUCUCUUUCAAAGAUCACAUUCUGAGUACUGAGGGUUAGGACUUCAACAUAUAAAUUUUAUGGUGGACGCAGUCCAACCCCUAAGCACAUCAACUGUCUGGAAACUGACUAGAAUCUUGGUCCUCUGAGGCUCUUGUUCCUUUUUUCCUGUUAAAUGACUGUGCCUUUUAAUAUUCUUGUUCCCGUUACUGUAGAGACCAUUCCCUCUUUCACAGACCUAAGAGACAAGCGUGUGGUUAAAACAUCAACUUUUCUCAGACACAUCAAACGAUUCCAUUUAGGGGAAUAUAAGGCCAAAGUAAAUUUAGAGAAGUUAUGAUCCUUGUUACUAUAACCUGAACAUACUCAUUCUGGGGAUGAAGAUAAACAGUGAAUUUUUUUUAUUAUCACAUGGCUAUUAAUGUUGAACCUUUAGAGUUAGACGUGAAAUUCUCUCAGACUUAUUUAAUGAAUACAGUUUAUAUUAUUAAAUUGUGAUGAUAAAUGAGUUUGCUCAGUUAUUCUCUUCUUUGACUUGACUUUCUCUACCCCUGAAAAACAGUCUUCCAGGGAAAGGAGCUUUCCUUUCUGGAGGUCCUAUGGAUGAAGCUUUGGCAGGACCGUUGUCAACCCAGGCAUUUAAUUCUCCUGAAAUUAUGUUGUCAUUCAGGGAUACUUGAAGCAUAUAAAGUUUAGGGGGCAAUGGAAUCAGUGCCAGACAUUUAGGGAUAUGUUUGCAUACAGGUAGGGAGGCUAUUUUUAUGUUGUACCAAGUGGUCUUUUUGGGAAGGUGAAUCUAGACAAGAUAAAUAAGUUUUUAAUUCAUGUCAGGUGACUGAGUUCAAUGUAGCCUGUCACCCUCACAUCAACCAGAACUUCGUGGAUUAAAGGUUGGAACAGAAGGAAAAUAAUAGGGUAUUAAACUCUCCAGUAAUGACUUCAUUCUUGCCAUUCUCACAUGGCCUAAAAUGCUUAUUUUCAAGGAGGGGAACCUAAUGCUGAGAGAAAUAACAUGAUUAGUCCAAGAAAACAGUAUACUCUCGCAAUGUGCCUCUACCCCGCAUAGCAGCUGUAAUGCAGGACUCACGCGCUGUGAGCUAAGUGGCAGUUCUAACUCUCUAGCAAUACUUACUAGGGUAUACCUAAGUUUGGGCCUUCCCUACUAAACCAAGUCACAGACUAUGUCUCUUGGUGCUUAGAGGUAGUAGGUUUUAGGAUGUACACCUGCACUCCUCCUCACCAGCAGUGUCUCCCAAAGCCCAUCCCUUAGAUGAUCAGCCUUUCAUAUAUGUCAAGAAAAAAACUUGAUUAAGUGAUCAAACACAUUUGGAAAAUGCCACGUACUGCACCCCUUUCUUAGAUACUCAUCACACAUAUCAGAGUAUUGACAGCUUUGUAAUGUCUGGCAAUGAAAAAACCAUUUAACUUUCUUUAACCAGGUGUUUCCAAAAGUUAUCUGAUCACAGAACCAUUUGUUCAUGUAACACCCGUAAGUUGCAAGCAACACAUUUUGAGAAACCCUGUCUAAAUUUUGCAGAAGUUGGGAAAAGAUAUACAUUAACAAAGAAUUUAGAUCAGGUUUAGAGAUGACAGAGCAAGAGAUCUGUGGAGAGGUCCAUAUAGAACAGGUGAGUGGUAAUCCUUAUCAUCUGCCCCCAAACAUUCCUUGUGGCUUUUAACAGGAAGGGAAUCCUAAGCUGGGCUGGGCAGGCUUUUCCCAUUAUAGUCUUUCCUCAUUGUGGGGGUGUGGAUGACUGUGUGAAUGUAUUUGUGUUUGAUCUAGAUAGUCAGGUGCUUUAGGAGAGAAAAAGAGCACUGGGCUAACGAUCAGAAGGUCUGGUGUGUUUUUGGCCUUUAUCAUGAACUUGUGAUGUGACGUCUCAGCAGUCCCAGUGCUCCACUAGUUAGUGUGGAUGCUGUUGUGCCACCUCCAUCCGUCCGCACCCCACAGGCCUUUAGUGUCCAAAGGCCUCUCUGUUCACUUGGGACCUCAGCAAAUGCUGUCUGAAGGUGAAAAGGAAAAGGAGGAUUUGGGGAUUUUGUCAGGCUGAUGACAUAAUGUCUGCAGUGUUCCGAUCACCUCAGAAGGAGCAGAGGGUUUGCUGCAAAGGGCCCUGCUGUUCCUGAGGGAGGUGUGAAUGACUGUCUGACACCCCGUAAAACCAUGCAGCAUGGUCUGAUAGAGCCACUCAGAAUGUUUCUAGUUAGAUGCUGCUAUAACAAAGACCCUUUGUUUUAAAACAAAAUAAACCACCUUGAACUUGGUUCAGGAAAAGAAUACACUUUUAGGGUAAGACACUUAAGAUAAAAUUUAAAGAAUUUAAACAACCACAUCUCAGGAAGGUUCAAAAGCCUGACAUUGCAGGCUGCCGUUUUCUCUGUGUCUGUGUCUCAGCUGUAAUUCUUGGCAAAGAGAAUUGUAUAGCCCCAAUUACUGGUCAAAUGCCCACUCUAGUUCAUUUAGCUGUAGCAUAGCUAACAGCCGUGUCUCUCUCAUUUUUCCUGUUAGAAUCCCAAUUUGUUCAGGAGAGUGUGACAAUAGCUUGAUAUCAGGGAAGACAGAUCCCACUCCAGUCCCAGAGGAUGAAUUUUGAUCAUCUAAACCGGUCAUAGUAAUCCCAUUUCUCUUUAUCAGUAAUUGGCUGAGGGUGGCAUUGUGACCUAGUUCUAAUGUAGGAGAUAUAAAUAGAAGUUAGUUGGAUAUGAUUGUGGGAAAGCUUUUGUCUUUCUUAUUAAAAGGAACAACAGAUUUACUGGGCAUGGCUUUUUCUCCUUCUCUGGGAUUCAGGUGUGAUGCCUGGUGAUUCAGCAGCCGUCUUGUAAUCAUGAUGUGACAGUAGGAGAGGAAAGCUGUGUGCAAGAACAGAAAGCACAAAGGAGAAAGAGCCAAGGUCCCUGUCAGUGCAGUGAACUGCUGCACUGAUACUGGACAGCAUACCUCCUGAUUUGUUCUUAUUUGAGAAAAAUGAUAACCGAUUUGUUGACAUCACAGCGUACUUUAAUAGGUUGUUGUUAUUGUUGUCUUUACCUGCAACCAAAAACAUUCCUAAGUGAGAAAAUUAUAUAGUAAAAACAUGGGUGCCAGGAGCCAAUUCCUAUGGCUCAGAGGAUGAUUCUCAGAUCUUUAAGGGAACAGAAGAAGAGGAGAUGGCACCUACCAUGGUUAGCUAUUCAAAAGUAUCUACCAAAGCCACCCCAAAGUCUUGAAAUCUCACACUGCUUUAGAGCAUAGAGAGAGAAACCCUGUUCUUUCCACUGCACACCUGUCUUAGAUACAAUUAACUAACUCAUUCUACUGAUUUUUACUACUCCCCAUUAUGUGCUUGACAUUUUUCUAGGUGCUGAGGAUUGAUUGGUGAAGACAGAGAGAAUCUUGGCUCUGACUGAGUUCACAUUCUAAAAGAGAAAAUAGAAAAUAACCAUGAAAAACAAAUGAAUGGGAUCACUUCAGAUAUCGGAAAGGUCUGUAAGUAAUAGAAAACAGCAUGUUAUAGAGGAUUGGGGAGGCUGUGUCCAUGGAAGGCCUAGGAAAGUGAUAUUUCAAUUGAAACUUGAGUUGCAGAAGGCAGCCAGCUGUGCAAGGCUGAGGACCAAGCGUUUUGGGAGGGAAUUGUGAAGCCAGGCAUGAGCAUGUCUUGCUGAAGACCCAGAAUGAACUGUAGUGGUGCCCACUGCACAGGGCCUGGGGAAGCUACCCAUGCUCAUCUCCUGGUAACGUGCCAGCAACUCAGCCCACUGGCAUCAUGAUGAAUCUCGAUGCUGCUGACUGGGCUUCUUGUUGCAUAGGUGAACUGUCCCAUCAUCUGCUUGAGGCUGGCAGAGCUCAGGGGGUCAGACCACUGGGAGUGAUCUAUGUAGUGGAAUCUCUGACCAGAGUGACUGAUUCCCUCAUGUUCUUUCCUUUUGAGAAUGGAUUCAUUAUUCCAAGCUGCAGCUCCUAUGCUCUCCAGAGGACUAGCUUCCCUUGGAAUGCGGUCAGCCCUGCUCUGGAGGGACUGGGAGGGCAUUCAGCUAGCACACAGCUGCUACAGGACCACGCUCCAGUUACCCCUUCAAGUUAUGACUGCCCCUGUUGACAUUGUCUAGUGCUUGAGAGUCCCCUCUGUAGAGACCUUGCAGAGAGUCAGGAAGCCUGCUAGGGCCCUGUGAUGGUCAUACCUGACAUCAGUUUCAAGCGAUACUUAUCAGUGAAGCAGUCAUAUGAGAUCACAAGGCUAGAACUAGCUCCUUCCAAGCUCACAAUGUCCUGCAUUCCUCAUGGGUCUGGCCUAACCCAGAACAAAAGUGUCAGCAUGCUACCACCCCCUUCUAACAAGUUGCCUACGAAAUGGAAUAUCCACCCAGCUCUGGUAGACAGUCCAGUGUUCUUUUUCUCUAACACUUGAACUUGCCGGCCAUUGGAAUCACUGUAAUUAUAUUAGAUGUUAGAUUUCCUGUGUGAGUGGUGGGAUGUGAGGAAUGUGAUUGCUCACCUUAGAAGAGUAAAGUUGCCUAGAAGUGCCCGACCUGCCAUUUAGAAACCCUGGGUUUGGUUUUCCUACACCUGGAACACAAAACUACAAAAUACCAAAGUUGGAGGCAAACUUGGUAAUUAAUAUCCGUCCUCUUACAGAUGGAAAAAAAAAAGAAGCAUGACCUGACCAAGGUUAAUAAUAAUACUACAAAGGAAGGCUCUUUGGGAUUCCCAUGUCCCUGUAAUUGGUGUUAGAAUUUGGUGGUAAUGUGCUCUUUGACUUACAGAACAAAGAAAAAAAAAAACCUUGCAUGUCAACGAUGUGUGCCAUCAAAGUUCUCCAUGCCUCUGCAUGCCUCUGUGUGGUUUGGUUCUCACCAUCCAGUGUAGUGGGCAUUAUUUUUCUCAUUUUACACAUAAGGAAAACGAGACCCAGAAAGGUUAAGUCCAUUCAGUUAGUAAGUGGCAAUCCUGAACUCAAGUUUCAAUCUUCUGCCUCUUAUUCAAUAGCAUUUCCAAGUCCUUCUCCACUUUGAGAGCACAGCAGGAAAUUAGCUAUAACUUAGGGCAAGAUAUAUAGCCCUGAAAAGUCUCUGCUUUAUUCGGGAAGCAGAUAUUGUGGAUUGCUAGAAAAUCUAAAGAAAGGAUUCUGAUUUUUAGUGACAGUACCCUCACCUUCAUUGGCAUGUAAACACUUCCCUCUUGGAACCACUGUAGCUGGAGCAGGGGCCUCACGGCUGCUAACAUAACGGUUCUGUCAUCUCAGCAGCUACUCCUCCUUGUCUUAAAUACCAACUCCCAGGCACGGUGUGGCUCUGAAAAUCUCAAGCUGUUAGAAUCCAGUGGCUACUCCAAUUCUGAUUCUGUCGCUUUAGAUGACCUGAGCUACAUUAUUUAAACUUCCUAUGUCUCAGUUUUUCCAUCUAUAAAAGGGGCUAGUUAUAGUACCUUCCUGAGAAGGUGAAGACUAAAUGAGGUUAAAAAAAUUAAAAAAAACUUAGGAGAGUAAAGUGUUCAAUAAAUAUUAGUUGUUGCUGCUGCUUUUGCUCUUGAAACAAGGAAUUCUGUCACAGAGCUGAGUUUUCACCAGAAGUACAAAAGGAAUAUGUUCAUAGUUCAUGGACACAGUGGGCAUGCCAGGGUGAGAGGUGUCCAAAAGAUAGAAUCACAUACAGUUUAUUUCUUAACCCUGGGGAAUGAUUGCCCUGGACCUUAUACUACAAGGCUUGUCUUCAUUUUCUGCCAGUAUCACCCCUCUGACCCCACCCCUGUCAACAAAGCAGAAGGCUUUAACUCACCCACUUGAAAAGCUAAAGCUGACCUGGAUGUUAUGAUUAUGUAUUUAUUUAGUCUGAAAGAAGGAACAGAAAUAAUAGUCUUUUAUAUAACUCAAAAAGUGUAAAGGAGCCAAUGAUAAAAACCAUUGCCCUGAACUUUUCCAAAGCCCCAUAAAUCUCUCUUGUUAUGAUUCUCCAGUUGUUGCCAAGGUAUCAUUUGUCUUGUUUUUGUCCUCAGAUAGACUAAAACAAACCUUAACGAACUUCCUCCUGUUGGUUUGUGUAUCUGUGAUCAAAGGCUAUAAAAAUGCUGCUAUUUCCAGUUACUCCCAUCAUCUAAAACCCACCUGAUGCUUGUGUGGUUUCUCAGCAAUAUUCUGAUUUUAAUUUGAUGGCUUUUUGUGUUAGUCUGUUUCCCUUUCAAAGCUGUUUUUUCCUCCCUUCCCUCCCCUCUGUGUUUCUUUCUCUCUCUGCUGAUAUUUUUGGCAUGUUUAGAUCAUCUUUCCACUGACCUUUCAGUGGCUUAGCAUUUUGUUGCAAUGCAAAGUGAAGUUGGGAAACAGAGCCAAGUAACAAACUGUGAAGUAACAGCUCAGCCUUCACAAAGCAAAUGUGCUUUGUGCUCUUUCUUGCCAGAGCAGAUGUGGCCUCGGUGGACUGUGGGGAGCCUCAUCUCUCAGGUAAAAAUAAAUUACCAAGAUGAGGCCCAAAUGAUGCAAAUCCUUUCAUUUGCAAACAGAUCAUGAACUGAGACUCAUGCGGAAGGAAGACCAGACUGAGAAUCAGUUAGGAUCCCACCCUCAGCUUAGACCAGAAUACUCUGCCAAUCAGCUCUCUGGCCGCAGAAAGAGAAAAGAGAUUUCUAACAUUUCCUGGGAUUUCAAAAAAAAAAAAAGGAAAAGAAAGAAUUCAACCAAAUACCCAUUUGUUAGCCCAGCAUUGUAAGUCAGCAGCCCUAAAGAAUGAUUGGAGAAUCAACCAGUACCAAUACUGCCAGGCUUCAUCUCCUUCGUAUCCAGCUGUACCCAGUAGAAUUUCUUGGAGCCCACAAAAUGUUAAUUGAAAAGAUAAGUCAGCUUUGGAAAACAUCUAUAUUUUAAGCAGAGGUGGAAUUUGGGGAAGAGUCAUGUAGACAUCUGUAAUUCUAUACAUCAUGAUUAUUUUCAGUGACCUGAAACCUGAAGCAGAUUCUAAGGGUUAAACAAUGUCCAUAGUUUUACUCUUUAGGAUGGUGUUGGUCCCCUACCCAAUCAUUGUCACACUGCUUGGCUCUUAUAGGCCUAAGUGCAUGAGUUGCUUAUUAUUUGUCUGGGUAGUUGGUUAAUUUUGGAGGCAACCAUCUUGGAGGUACGAUUUUCUUCCUUUGUAGAUGACAAAGUGUGGAUUGCUAUCUUUUCAUGUUUCAUUUUACAUACUUUGUCCUCUAUCUCCCACCAACCCUCUCACCAUUUCUGUUUAAAGAUAUUAUUCCUUAUAUAUGGAGAUUCUUCCAAAAAGAUUGACAUAUGCCCGUGUGUGCUCAUGUGCACAGACAUACACACAUAUACUCACAGUACAUUUAUGCUUCCAAAUAUAUUCUUUUAUUUUCUUGACUCAAUUAUUCCAUUUAUCAACUCAGUUAUUCCAGGAAUCCUGGAAAAACGGAGGGGUGAGGGAGAAAGGAUGAUUGUGGUUAUAAGGUUUAAAUGUAUUAUAGCAUUAUCAGUUGACUAUUGAGGAAUUGUGCUGUCAGUGAAUUACAUGUUUCAGCUAUGUCAUUGGCUCUGGAAACUCAGACAGAGAGUAGUUAUCCAGAUAAAGAAAUGUCUGAAAACAAACAAGAAAUAGGAGUUGCAUUUUGGAAGUAUUCUCAUUCAUAAAACUAAGAGGUCACAUUCAUUGCAAGAGGGCAUCCACUGGAAUGCUGGCUGAACUUAUGAUUAGAGCAUUCAUUCAUUUAUUUAACAGAUACUUAUUUAGAGUUUUUUAUGUACUGGGCACUGUCCUAGAUUUUAGAGAUAUGUUAAUAAGCAAAGGCAAGCAUGGUUCUUGCUGGUAAAUGUUUAACAACUGGCUUUACAAAAACAAAAACUCUGAUUUUUAGUAUUUGUUCAUUUCUGUGAUGUAAAUGCCCCCACUACAGCCAAUUUCAAGCUACCAAUGUUCUACAAUGUAGGAAGAUAUGGAUACAUUAAGCAAUGUGAGCCAGCAUGAGCUGGCUUCAGCACACUUCGGGUCCUUGCUGUCCAAAAGUUUACAGUAAAAUUGGGAAGACAUACAUUUAAAAUAUUACUUUAAUAAAAGUCAACUUCAAACUAUGACAGGGCUGUCAAGAAGGGGAAUGUGGCAUUGAUAGCCUGCAAUAAAUGAAUAUAAACUAUUUUGUGAAAUUAUUGGAAGUAUUCACUGGGAAACUGAUAGUUAAGCUGAGAGCUGAAGAUGCAAAAGAUUACUUGAGGAAAGGAGGAGCAUUUCAGAUAGAAGUUACAGCUCAUGCAAACGCUCUGUGGUGGGAAAAAACUUGGUGUAUUUGAAGAAAACAAAAGAAGGCUUUGUGACUAAACCGUGAGAGGAAAAGGGGCAUGUGCUGAGUUGGAAGUGGUAGGCAUGAACCAUACUUGACUUAUAAGCUUUGAGAAAAAUGUGGAUUUUUAUCCUCAAAGCAGAGGUUAUCUAUUGAAGAGUUUUAAGCCUGGAAUUAAAAUGAUGAAAUUGCGUUUUGAAAAUAUCACUCUAGCUACAGCACAGAGGAAAGAUUGGAAUUGACCUCGAUGGAGAGCUGGGAGGCGAUGAGUAGUCUGUUACAGCAGUCUAUGUAAGAGAUGCUUGUGAACUGGCCUAGGGUCUGGCAAUAAAAAUGGAGAGAAGGGGAAAGAUUUCAGAGAUAUUUAUGACUCUAAAUUAAGAUGAGUUAAUAAGGGUUAGUGUCCAAUAAUAUGUUGCCAAGUCUUUCUGAGCUUGCACAGCUGGCUGGGUAGUGAUGCCAGAAAGUUUGGGAACACCAUUGUGUGUGUAUGCAUAUGUGCACAUGCAGGGGAAAAUCCGAAGUUUUGGGCAUAUGAGUUUGAAUAAUCUUUGAGGCAUCUAAGUGGAUGUGUCAAACAUGUUAGAUAUAUAGUGCUAGAACUCAGAGUAGAGGUCUGGCCUAGAGUCUAUAUUUUGGAGUAAUUUUCAUCUGAAAGAAAAUUAAAGAAUCCUGUGUCUUUAACCCUGCUCCUUGGGCAGCAGACAUCUUUUCAGCACAUAUCAGAUGGCUUAAACUUUCUUUUCUGGGAUUCUUUUUCAUUUGUAUAAGACAUAGUAAUGCAUCUUGGCAACUCAAUAAGAUUUGGGGAAUACUGAAUUUAUUUUCUGAGCUAUUUUUCUUUAAAGAUUUGUAUUCACUGAAUAGGCAGUGUAUUAACUAGAGUAGUGCAUGCAAACUGUUUAGCAUAGUACCUAGCCUGUAGUAAGAACUCAGAAAAUGGCAAUUGUCAUUAGCAUCUUCUUCUUCUUUUCUUGAUAUCUGGAUUACAAUUACUUAAUUUUCAUUAUCAAUACGGUUGCUUUAUCAAUGUAUCAAAAAGAAACUCAUGAUAUUUAGGGGAAAAUGUCUAAGAUACAUACUUGAGGAUGUGUCGUGCGUGUGUGUGUGUGUGUGUGCGUGUGUGUGUGUAGAGAAGGCUUGGAAAGGAUGCAUACUAAAUUUGAUGAAAUUGCCUCUGAAAGACGUAGAAUUGAAGGGGAGUUAGGCAAUAAACAGGGCUUUUUUUUAGCUAAACAUUUAUAAAAUUUGAAUUUUUGUGAGUAUGCAUUCCUUGUAUAAUUUUUUUGCAAAUGAAUUCACAUUGCACAAGUUGAAUAAACAUAGCUCUCACAUGAUGCUGGUCCAGGAGUGACCAAAUGCAUAGUGGAUACAAGGCAGUUCUGAGAGGCAGGCACUGCCAUGUGUGAAUGAUUGCAGAUAGAAUCACUGUGAAAUGAUUGUUGAAUUGUUUCCUGGUAAAGAGUGACUUAAAUGGCUGACAGAAGAUAAAACAGAAUCCAGACGCUUGAUAUGUAUCUCGGUUGCUAUGUAACAAGCCACCCAAUACAGUAAUUUGAAACAAUAAUAUUUCUUUUGCUCACAGGUUUGCAGUUUGCCUAGGGGCACAGUGGGGACAUUUUGUCUCUGCUCUAUUUGACAGCAGAUGAAGAUGAAAUGACCAGAAAGCUAAAGGAUGACAUGACUAUGUAUUUAGAAGACCCCAUCAUCUCAG
Long non-coding RNA from Sapajus apella (tufted capuchin), 16586 nucleotides. RefSeq lists it as uncharacterized. NCBI's taxonomy places the organism in Eukaryota, Metazoa, Chordata, Mammalia, Primates, Cebidae. The transcript has 8 exons. The record is from RefSeq and is a predicted model, not a curated record.